This 488-nucleotide ribosomal RNA is filed under the name uncultured bacterium. Its description in RNAcentral is "bacterial SSU rRNA". It matches the Rfam family "Bacterial small subunit ribosomal RNA", at positions 30 to 507 of the family's 1533-position model. The record is from RNAcentral.
AUUGAACGCUGGCGGCAUGCCUAACACAUGCAAGUCGAACGGUAACGCGGAGAGCUUGCUCUCUGGCGACGAGUGGCGGACGGGUGAGUAAUACUUAGGAAUCUGCCCAGUAGUGGGGGACAACAUUCGGAAACGGAUGCUAAUACCGCAUACGCUCUACGGAGGAAAGCGGGGGAUCUUCGGACCUCGCGCUAUUGGAUGAGCCUAAGUCGGAUUAGCUUGUUGGUGAGGUAAAGGCUCACCAAGGCGACGAUCCGUAGCUGGUCUGAGAGGACGAUCAGCCACACUGGGACUGAGACACGGCCCAGACUCCUACGGGAGGCAGCAGUGGGGAAUAUUGGACAAUGGGGGCAACCCUGAUCCAGCAAUGCCGCGUGUGUGAAGAAGGCCUGCGGGUUGUAAAGCACUUUCAGUAGAGAAGAAAAGCCUAGGGUUAAUACCCCUGAGUCUUGACGUUACCUACAGAAGAAGCUCCGGCUAACUCCGUG